This 305-nucleotide unclassified non-coding RNA is filed under the name plant metagenome. Its description in RNAcentral is "partial contains 5.8S ribosomal RNA, internal transcribed spacer 2, and large subunit ribosomal RNA". The stretch from base 1 to 105 matches the Rfam family "5.8S ribosomal RNA", at positions 50 to 154 of the family's 154-position model. The record is from RNAcentral.
GAAAUGCGAUAAGUAGUGUGAAUUGCAGAAUUCAGUGAAUCAUCGAAUCUUUGAACGCACAUUGCGCCCUUUGGUAUUCCUUAGGGCAUGCCUGUUCGAGCGUCAUCUAAACCUUCAAGCCCUGCUUGGUGUUGGGUGCCUGUCCCGCCUCCGCGCGCGGACUCACCUCAAAUCCAUUGGCGGCCCCCGCGUCGGCCACGAGCGCAGCAGAAACGCGAACUCGUGAGCCCGUCCGGGCGGCUCCCAGAAUCUACACCCACCCAGUUUGACCUCGGAUCAGGUAGGGAUACCCGCUGAACUUAAGC